AGUAACGGCGAGUGAAGCGGCAACAGCUCAAAUUUGAAAUCUGGCUCUUUCAGAGUCCGAGUUGUAAUUUGCAGAGGGCGCUUUGGCUUUGGCAGCGGUCCAAGUUCCUUGGAACAGGACGUCACAGAGGGUGAGAAUCCCGUACGUGGUCGCUAGCUAUUGCCGUGUAAAGCCCCUUCGACGAGUCGAGUUGUUUGGGAAUGCAGCUCUAAAUGGGAGGUAAAUUUCUUCUAAAGCUAAAUACUGGCCAGAGACCGAUAGCGCACAAGUAGAGUGAUCGAAAGAUGAAAAGCACUUUGGAAAGAGAGUCAAACAGCACGUGAAAUUGUUGAAAGGGAAGCGCUUGCAGCCAGACUUGCUUGCAGUUGCUCAUCCGGGCUUUUGCCCGGUGCAUUCUUCUGUAGGCAGGCCAGCAUCAGUUUGGGCGGUGGGAUAAAGGUCUCUGUCAUGUACCUCUCUUCGGGGAGGCCUUAUAGGGGAGGCGACAUACCACCAGCCUAGACUGAGGUCCGCGCAUCUGCUAGGAUGCUGGCGUAAUGGCUGUAAGCGGCCCGUCUUGAAACACGGACCAAGGAGUCUAACAUCUAUGCGAGUGUUUGGGUGUCAAGCCCGAGCGCGUAAUGAAAGUGAACGGAGGUGGGAACCCGCAAGGGUGCACCAUCGACCGAUCCUGAAGUUUACGGAAGGAUUUGAGUAAGAGCAUGGCUGUUGGGACCCGAAAGAUGGUGAACUAUGCUUGAAUAGGGUGAAGCCAGAGGAAACUCUGGUGGAGGCUCGCAGCGGUUCUGACGUGCAAAUCGAUCGUCAAA
RNAcentral lists this ribosomal RNA (809 nucleotides) under Exserohilum protrudens. Its description in RNAcentral is "LSU rRNA". It matches the Rfam family "Eukaryotic large subunit ribosomal RNA", at positions 82 to 909 of the family's 3401-position model. The record is from RNAcentral. Lineage: Eukaryota; Fungi; Ascomycota; Dothideomycetes; Pleosporales; Pleosporaceae.